UUUAAUUUUAUUUUCAUUUGGACAAGUUACCCCAAGUAUCAUCAAUUCAUGAUGACUGGUUUGGUGUGAUGAAUUGAUCCUGGUGCUGAUUUAAGAGUUUUUUAUGACGCUGUCUUGUAAGGGAGUAAGGUCUGGUAUCUAUAUGGCUGUUAUUUUAGCUCUUACAGAUUGCCAUAUAUGACAUGCUAAUUGUUUUUAGCUCUUGAUAUAGUUAAACUUUUUUUUUUGAAACGGAGGCAAAAGAUUUGCCUCAUCCAUUAAAUGGGAGGAGAAUAGAGUUAAACUUUGGAUGCACCAGUGCCUGAUGCAUAUGUUUGUUUACUUGGUUUGAACUCUGAAUGAUAUGUUGUUAUCCUGAUUGCAUGCCUGAUGAGUUGGUUCUGCUGGUAUUUUGUGGAGGCAAGCUGUGGUUUUACUCAUGGCCCUGAGAAGGGUGAACUAGGCCAUAGCGAGGGCGCCUUCAGGAACAUCGAGUCAGGGUGCCUCACUUUCUAUUUCAGUCUGCGAGGUUUUCAACAUCACGAAUUUCAUACUUAUGGAGUGGAGCUACCAAAAUAUCUAUUGAGGAAAUAUGUCGAAGCACAGAAUAUAUUCCAUAUGCAGUAGACUAACAGAACGACACAACACAUAAAAAGAGGAGUAUAAGUGGAAACCUUUCUUUCUCUUUAAAUUCUUGAGGAUGGUAACAUUAUGAUGAUGGUGGAACCAUAGAGAGAUGUGUAUUUUUAAUUGAGAUAUUUUCAGGAGUACCUUUGCAAAGCUGAUAUAUCUUUCUUUUACAAGAUAUGGUUGCACUUGCUUCAUCUACAUAGGCCGUCUGGAAUGCCAUGAGGCCGGGAUUUGUGUAGGAAAUCUUCAAAGCUAUUAUAUUGGUCUCAAGAAACUUGCAAUACAUCAAUGCAUUUUUAUUUUUAUUGUUUGCUGACACCACAGCUACCACCUCUUCACUAAAUGACAGAGGUUCCCAGCAGCUGCACAUGGAAAGAUUGAAUGUUAUAUUCUGUCUACUAAUCAAUAAGGAGGGAGAUCAAAAUUACUGCUCUCAAAUAUUCGCCUGAUCAUUUGUAUGUUUCUACAAUUUUCCUGCUUGUUGGAACAUGUUUGAUGUACUUACACAUUAACAAAAAUGAUCUGUAACAUUCAUGAAAAUAUUUGGGUUUGGUC
This is a long non-coding RNA of Triticum dicoccoides, 1164 nucleotides long. RefSeq lists it as uncharacterized. The transcript has 3 exons. NCBI's taxonomy places the organism in Eukaryota, Viridiplantae, Streptophyta, Magnoliopsida, Poales, Poaceae. The record is from RefSeq and is a predicted model, not a curated record.